UACGGAGGAUCAGAGUGUUAUCCGGAUUUAUUGGGUUUAAAGGGAGCGUAGGUGGAUUGUUAAGUCAGUUGUGAAAGUUUGCGGCUCAACCGUAAAAUUGCAGUUGAAACUGGCAGUCUUGAGUACAGUAGAGGUGGGCGGAAUUCGUGGUGUAGCGGUGAAAUGCAUAGAUAUCACGCAGAACUCCGAUUGCGAAGGCAGCAUACCGGCGCCCGACUGACGCUGAAGCACGAAAGCGUGGGUAUCGAAUAGG
RNAcentral lists this ribosomal RNA (253 nucleotides) under uncultured Bacteroides sp. RNAcentral's name for it is "partial 16S ribosomal RNA". It matches the Rfam family "Bacterial small subunit ribosomal RNA", at positions 524 to 776 of the family's 1533-position model. Lineage: Bacteria; Pseudomonadati; Bacteroidota; Bacteroidia; Bacteroidales; Bacteroidaceae. The record is from RNAcentral.